This 1208-nucleotide long non-coding RNA is filed under the name Cricetulus griseus (Chinese hamster). RNAcentral's name for it is "lncRNA (ENSCGRG00015030783.1)". Lineage: Eukaryota; Metazoa; Chordata; Mammalia; Rodentia; Cricetidae. The record is from RNAcentral.
UGGAGCCGUCUUUUCUAGCUAUCCACCAUGGCGGGUGGGUUAAAGACCCGAGCUAACAUGGGGUUAACUCGUUAAAUUACAAUAAAGCCUCGUGCAGUUUGCAGCAAGCUCUCGAAUCCGCCUGGUGAUUGGGGUGACCGUGAACGUGGCCUGGGACCCCGGAAACUUGAGUUUUCGGGGGUCUAACAGUAAGACCUGGGUAUUGAACUUUUACCCACUGAGCUGUGUCCACAGCCCUGGUUUGUUUUUUUGUUUGUUUUUUGUUUUUUGUUGUUGUUUGGUUGGUUUUGGUUUUGUUUGUUUCUAAUAGACAGAAGUAAACAAGGUAGACAUAGGUGAAGAGGGUAGGAGAGACAGGGUGCUUUGUCCCUAGCCACCCCAGUGUUACCAAGGACCAGGAGCUCCAGGGCUAAAAAGGCCAGAUGUGGUGGCAUGGACUUGUAAUUCCAACACUCUAAAAAGCAGAGGCAGGAGGCUUGCUGCAACUUCAUGACUAGCCUGAUCUACCCAGAGAGUUCCAGACCAGCCAAGGCUACUUAGUACAGGAAGGAUGCCUCCCAUGUGACAGCUGUGCCUCAAGGGAAGGUCCAUGUACUUGAUACACCUCCAGUUUCUUUACUUUCAAAUACUUCUUAAACAGAGGGUCUCACUAAGUUGCCCAGGCUGACCUUGAACUCCCUCUGUAGCCAGGAUGUGGACCUCCUGGCUCAGUUUCCCCAAAAUCAAGAAUGACAGACCUGGUCUGUCAGUAGCUCUCAGCUACUGCUCCAGCCCCAUGCCUCCCUGUACGUGGCCAUGCUCCCCGCCAUGACAAUAAUGGACUAACUCUCUGAAACUCUGUGAGUCUGCAGUCAUUGAUACCAUGGCAAAGUGCUUCCUUGCCCUCUACAGUCAGUGGGAGCAUGGAGCAUGGGCUUACACAUGGUUUCUGGAGAUAGCAUGGACCACAGACAUCCACAUGGUCUCCGGCAUCAUCAUGUCUCUGGUAGCAGUACAGGCUACAAACAUCAACAUGGCUCUCUGCCGCUGUGUGCAAGAGGAUUAUUCCACAGCAGUCCUAUUAUGUCUCUCUCUGUCUGCCUUAUUCUUUUGAGACAGGUCUGUCACUGAACCUGGAGCUAGGCUGGCAGCCAUCUUCCUGUUUCCAUCCCCACAGUACUUGGGUUAUAGGUGCGUCCGUGUGCAGCCAUGCCUGUACAUAAGAGUGC